This 561-nucleotide long non-coding RNA is filed under the name Homo sapiens (human). Its description in RNAcentral is "non-protein coding lnc-CYP27B1-1:4". Lineage: Eukaryota; Metazoa; Chordata; Mammalia; Primates; Hominidae. The record is from RNAcentral.
AGACGCAAUCCCUCUCCUGGCCACCGCAGCCGAACGCGCUCCUUCACUGCAGCCAGUCCCGUCGAGCCGUCCCCACCUUCCCGAUGCGCACUCUCUCCUCAACCCUGCAGGGAAGGCGAAGAAUGGCAAAGGCUCCGCAGUCUCCUGGCCCCGCUCCUCCUCCGGCCUCAAGCGGCCGCCCGCUACGCCGGAACCCUGAACAACGUAGUCUGCGACCUUGUGCGGCGUCUGAGGCGCCAGCGGGGACGUGGCACGGGGCCGCCCGCCCUGGUUCGGGACGUGGCGGGGGAAUUUUACAAGUUCGGACUGGAAGCAUCGCCGCGGUUCUGCUCGGCUCGCGCUUGGGCUGCCUGGAGGCUCAAGUGCCACCCGACACGGAGACCUUCAUCCGCGCUGUGGGCUCGGUGUUUGUGUCCACGCUGUUGACCAUGGCGAUGCCCCACUGGCUGCGCCACCUUGUGCCAGUUAGACCCAAGACCCGGACUGUCCUGGUACCUGAAAGGAGCAUCAACCUACAGUUUUUGGACAGAUAGUCCCAUGGAAAGAGACUGUCAUCAUCAC